Molecule: ribosomal RNA, 253 nt
Filed under: uncultured bacterium
Lineage: Bacteria
Description: partial 16S ribosomal RNA
Rfam family: Bacterial small subunit ribosomal RNA
Source: RNAcentral
UACAGAGGUCUCAAGCGUUGUUCGGAUUCAUUGGGCGUAAAGGGUGCGUAGGCGGCGCGGUAAGUCGGGUGUGAAAUCUCGGGGCUUAACUCCGAAACUGCAUUCGAUACUGCCGUGCUUGAGGACUGGAGAGGAGACUGGAAUUUACGGUGUAGCGGUGAAAUGCGUAGAUAUGCGGAGGAACACCGAUGGCGAAGGCAAUCCCCUGGGCCUGCACUGACGCUCAUGCACGAAAGCGUGGGGAGCAAACAGG